Rhineura floridana is the source of this 690-nucleotide long non-coding RNA. RefSeq lists it as uncharacterized. The transcript has 3 exons. NCBI's taxonomy places the organism in Eukaryota, Metazoa, Chordata, Lepidosauria, Squamata, Rhineuridae. The record is from RefSeq and is a predicted model, not a curated record.
AUAAAGAUCAAGUCACCAGGGCACAUAGCUACUGCCUUGGGAAAAUGUCUGAAUUAUCAACGAUCAAUCGUUUCCCCAUCAGUCACGGUCUCCUCCCAGAUCGGAGAGUGUGUUGGCUCUGCAACUGCGUGAGUUACCCCUUGGGCUGGCUGUUUGUUGCUUUCAUCUGAGGUGGUUUUUCUAGGAAAAGCAGAAGAGAAGAAAACAUGACCUCAAAGCUGGGUUGCUGAUGCUGGGCAAACCAUCACAUAUUGAGACAGAGGAAAUCUGGGAGUACAACCAGCUUGCAGUGUUUCAAGUCACCUAGUUUGAGAUUAAAGAAAUAAUGGAGCAGACGGGGAAAUACAUCAUUUGGAUAUCUGGACAGGACUUUCUGGAUGACCAGACGCAAAUCACCUGAGAAGAAGAUAAGAAUCUCUGGGAAGAUCCUGUGUCUGAGAUGAUUGUUUGUUUGUAAGACUGUCCCAUGCUGUGGGGCACCAUGAGUCUAGGUGAGUGCAGUUGCUUCGUACAAGGACUCUAUACAGCCUUGGGCUUAAGGUGAAAGGGAUGAACCCUCGAAUCUGUGCAUCGGCAACCAGAGGGCGUUCAAACUAUUUCACUGCCUUCUUGUAUCUCCACAGGAGGCCAAGGACAAUUGAGACUCUCUGUCUCCCAAAAAGGUCACCACUUUGACCAAUCUAAGCAGAU